CAGAGUUCAUGCCCUAACGGGUAGACCUCCCACCCUUUGUUAUACCUACCUUUGUUGCUUUGGCGGGCCGCCUUCGGGCUAUCGGCUUCGGCUGGUGCGCGCCCGCCAGAGAACCCCAAAUUCUGAAUUAUAAUGUCGUCUGAGUACUAUAUAAUAGUUA
Molecule: unclassified non-coding RNA, 160 nt
Filed under: uncultured Chalara
Lineage: Eukaryota; Fungi; Ascomycota; Leotiomycetes; Helotiales
Description: sequence contains ITS1
Source: RNAcentral